AAGAUCAUACUUCACAGGAUCAUUUCUGUAGUAUAUCUUCACAGACUCUCUACCCAAAGUAGGAGUCGAUGCAACCACGAUGAGGAGACGUAGCUCUCCUUCCUGAGCGUGAGGACGACUCGGAAUUGCGGCUUCGGUCGGAAUACCAGUCAUCGAUGAUCGUUCACCUUCUGCACUUUGUGCAGAAGGCAUGGGAGGACGGGCUUUCUGAGUGGC
This is a non-coding RNA of Nasonia vitripennis (jewel wasp), 216 nucleotides long. Lineage: Eukaryota; Metazoa; Arthropoda; Insecta; Hymenoptera; Pteromalidae. The record is from Rfam.